Molecule: ribosomal RNA, 549 nt
Filed under: uncultured bacterium
Lineage: Bacteria
Description: bacterial SSU rRNA
Rfam family: Bacterial small subunit ribosomal RNA
Source: RNAcentral
UGGGGAAUAUUGGACAAUGGGCGAAAGCCUGAUCCAGCCAUGCCGCGUGUGUGAAGAAGGCCUUUUGGUUGUAAAGCACUUUAAGUGGGGAGGAAAAGCUUAUGGUUAAUACCCAUAAGCCCUGACGUUACCCACAGAAUAAGCACCGGCUAACUCUGUGCCAGCAGCCGCGGUAAUACAGAGGGUGCAAGCGUUAAUCGGAAUUACUGGGCGUAAAGCGCGCGUAGGUGGUUAUUUAAGUCAGAUGUGAAAGCCCCGGGCUUAACCUGGGAACUGCAUCUGAUACUGGAUAACUAGAGUAGGUGAGAGGGGAGUAGAAUUCCAGGCGUAGCGGUGAAAUGCGUAGAGAUCUGGAGGAAUACCGAUGGCGAAGGCAGCUCCCUGGCAUCAUACUGACACUGAGGUGCGAAAGCGUGGGUAGCAAACAGGAUUAGAUACCCUGGUAGUCCACGCCGUAAACGAUGUCUACCAGUCGUUGGGUCUUUUAAAGACUUAGUGACGCAGUUAACGCAAUAAGUAGACCGCCUGGGGAGUACGGCCGCAAGGUUA